This 197-nucleotide ribosomal RNA is filed under the name uncultured bacterium. RNAcentral's name for it is "partial 16S ribosomal RNA". It matches the Rfam family "Bacterial small subunit ribosomal RNA", at positions 328 to 539 of the family's 1533-position model. The record is from RNAcentral.
ACGCUCGACACCUACGGGAGGCAGCAGUGGGGAAUAUUGCACAAUGGGGGAAACCCUGAUGCAGCGACGCCGCGUGAGCGAAGAAGUAUUUCGGUAUGUAAAGCUCUAUCAGCAGGGAAGAAACUGACGGUACCUGACUAAGAAGCACCGGCUAAAUACGUGCCAGUAGCCGGGUAAUCUGAGCGGGCUGGCAAGGC